AAAUGAAUAGACGGGGACCCGCACAAGCGGUGGAUGAUGUGGAUUAAUUCGAUGCAACGCGAAAAACCUUACCUACCCUUGACAUGGCAGGAAUCCCGAAGAGAUUUGGGAGUGCUCGCAAGAGAACCUGCACACAGGUGCUGCAUGGCUGUCGUCAGCUCGUGUCGUGAGAUGUUGGGUUAAGUCCCGCAACGAGCGCAACCCUUGUCAUUAGUUGCUACGAAAGGGCACUCUAAUGAGACUGCCGGUGACAAACCGGAGGAAGGUGGGGAUGACGUCAAGUCCUCAUGGCCCUUAUGGGUAGGGCUUCACACGUCAUACAAUGGUACAUACAGAGGGCCGCCAACCCGCGAGGGGGAGCUAAUCCCAGAAAGUGUAUCGUAGUCCGGAUUGUAGUCUGCAACUCGACUACAUGAAGUUGGAAUCGCUAGUAAUCGCGGAUCAGCAUGUCGCGGUGAAUACGUUCCCGGGUCUUGUACACACCGCCCGU
This 490-nucleotide ribosomal RNA is filed under the name uncultured bacterium. RNAcentral describes it as "bacterial SSU rRNA". It matches the Rfam family "Bacterial small subunit ribosomal RNA", at positions 903 to 1397 of the family's 1533-position model. The record is from RNAcentral.